This 99-nucleotide ribosomal RNA is filed under the name uncultured bacterium. Its description in RNAcentral is "partial 16S ribosomal RNA". It matches the Rfam family "Bacterial small subunit ribosomal RNA", at positions 392 to 508 of the family's 1533-position model. The record is from RNAcentral.
CAACGCCGCGUGGAGGAUGAAGUAUCUUGGUACGUAAACUCCCUUCGAUGGGGAAGGAUAAUGACGGUACCCAUAGAAGAAGCCCGGCUAACUUCGUGC